RNAcentral lists this ribosomal RNA (689 nucleotides) under Streptococcus gordonii. Its description in RNAcentral is "bacterial SSU rRNA". It matches the Rfam family "Bacterial small subunit ribosomal RNA", at positions 103 to 780 of the family's 1533-position model. Lineage: Bacteria; Bacillati; Bacillota; Bacilli; Lactobacillales; Streptococcaceae. The record is from RNAcentral.
CGGGUGAGUAACGCGUAGGUAACCUGCCUGGUAGCGGGGGAUAACUAUUGGAAACGAUAGCUAAUACCGCAUAAUAUUGAUUAUUGCAUGAUAAUUGAUUGAAAGAUGCUAUUGCAUCACUACCAGAUGGACCUGCGUUGUAUUAGCUAGUAGGUGAGGUAACGGCUCACCUAGGCGACGAUACAUAGCCGACCUGAGAGGGUGAUCGGCCACACUGGGACUGAGACACGGCCCAGACUCCUACGGGAGGCAGCAGUAGGGAAUCUUCGGCAAUGGACGAAAGUCUGACCGAGCAACGCCGCGUGAGUGAAGAAGGUUUUCGGAUCGUAAAGCUCUGUUGUAAGAGAAGAACGGGUGUGAGAGUGGAAAGUUCACACUGUGACGGUAUCUUACCAGAAAGGGACGGCUAACUACGUGCCAGCAGCCGCGGUAAUACGUAGGUCCCGAGCGUUGUCCGGAUUUAUUGGGCGUAAAGCGAGCGCAGGCGGUUAGAUAAGUCUGAAGUUAAAGGCUGUGGCUUAACCAUAGUACGCUUUGGAAACUGUUUAACUUGAGUGCAGAAGGGGAGAGUGGAAUUCCAUGUGUAGCGGUGAAAUGCGUAGAUAUAUGGAGGAACACCGGUGGCGAAAGCGGCUCUCUGGUCUGUAACUGACGCUGAGGCUCGAAAGCGUGGGGAGCGAACAGGAUUA